GUUGGGGGGUGCGGGGUGGAGAGCCUGAAGAUGGGGUUGUUUGGGGGGUGGAGAGCCUGGAGUGGGGGUACGUUGGGUCGUGGAGACCUCAAAGUUGGGGUACGUUGGGUGGUGGACCUCAAAGUUGGGGUUUGUUGGGUGGUGGACCCCAAAUUUGGGGUUGGAGACCCCAAAGUUGGUGUUUUUUGGAUGGUGGAGACCCCAAAGUUGGGGUACGUUGGGUGGAGACCCCAAAGUGGGGGUUCGUUGGGUGGUGGACCCCAAAGCGGGGCUUGGAG
This 278-nucleotide long non-coding RNA is filed under the name Numida meleagris (helmeted guineafowl). RNAcentral describes it as "lncRNA (ENSNMEG00000002543.1)". Lineage: Eukaryota; Metazoa; Chordata; Aves; Galliformes; Numididae. The record is from RNAcentral.